UGGCUCAGUUGGUAGAGCAUGGUGUUUGCAAUGCCAGGGUUGUGGGUUCAAUUCCAAU
This 58-nucleotide transfer RNA is filed under the name Salmo salar (Atlantic salmon). It matches the Rfam family "tRNA", at positions 8 to 63 of the family's 71-position model. Rfam says of the family: Transfer RNA (tRNA) molecules are approximately 80 nucleotides in length. Their secondary structure includes four short double-helical elements and three loops (D, anti-codon, and T loops). Lineage: Eukaryota; Metazoa; Chordata; Actinopteri; Salmoniformes; Salmonidae. The record is from Rfam by way of RNAcentral.